AUACUUACCUGGCAGGGGAGAUACCAUGAUCACGAAGGUGGUUUUCCCAGGGCGAGGCUUAUCCAUUGCACUCCGGAUGUGCUGAUCCCUGCGAUUUCCCCAAAUGUGGGAAACUCGACUGCAUAAUUUGUGGUAGUGGGGGACUGCAUUUGCGGGA
RNAcentral lists this small nuclear RNA (157 nucleotides) under Piliocolobus tephrosceles (Ugandan red Colobus). Its description in RNAcentral is "U1 spliceosomal RNA (ENSPTEG00000038719.1)". It matches the Rfam family "U1 spliceosomal RNA". From Rfam's summary of the family: U1 is a small nuclear RNA (snRNA) component of the spliceosome (involved in pre-mRNA splicing). Its 5' end forms complementary base pairs with the 5' splice junction, thus defining the 5' donor site of an intron. The record is from Rfam by way of RNAcentral. Lineage: Eukaryota; Metazoa; Chordata; Mammalia; Primates; Cercopithecidae.